AUUGAACGCUGGCGGCAGGCCUAACACAUGCAAGUCGGACGGUAGCACAGAGAGCUUGCUCUUGGGUGACGAGUGGCGGACGGGUGAGUAAUGUCUGGGGAUCUGCCCGAUAGAGGGGGAUAACCACUGGAAACGGUGGCUAAUACCGCAUAACGUCGCAAGACCAAAGAGGGGGACCUUCGGGCCUCUCACUAUCGGAUGAACCCAGAUGGGAUUAGCUAGUAGGCGGGGUAAUGGCCCACCUAGGCGACGAUCCCUAGCUGGUCUGAGAGGAGGACCAGCCAAACUGGAACGGAGACACGGUCCAGACUCCUACGGGAGGCAGCAGUGGGGAAUAUUGCACAAUGGGCGCAAGCCUGAUGCAGCCAUGCCGCGUGUAUGAAGAAGGCCUUCGGGUUGUAAAGUACUUUCAGCGGGGAGGAAGGCGAUGUGGUUAAUAACCGCAUUGAUUGACGUUACCCGCAGAAGAAGCACCGGCUAACUCCGUGCCAGCAGCCGCCGUAA
Molecule: ribosomal RNA, 504 nt
Filed under: uncultured bacterium
Lineage: Bacteria
Description: partial 16S ribosomal RNA
Rfam family: Bacterial small subunit ribosomal RNA
Source: RNAcentral